GACGAACGCUGGCGGCGUGCUUAACACAUGCAAGUCGAACGGAAAGGCCUGUCCUUCCUUGUUUUGGCCGGGUCCUCGAGUGGCUAACGGGUGAGUAACACGUGUGUGAUCUGCCCCCAACUUGGUUAUAAGCCUGGGAGACUGUGUCUAAUUCCCUAUAGGACUGCAGGGUGGUGCCUGUGGUGGCGAACGUUUUUCUAGUGGUUGGUGAUUAGCUGGCGGCCUAUCAGCUUGUUGGUGGGGUAAUGGCCUACCAAGGCGGGGACGGGUAGCCGGCGGGGGAGGGGGGACAGCGACAUUGGGACGGGGUCACGGCUCAGACGCCAACGGGAAGCAGCAGUGGGGAAGAAUGCAGAAUGAGCGGAAGGCAGAUGCAGCGACGGAGCGUGGGGGAUGACGGGAUUGGGGUUGUAAACUCCUUGCGACCGCGAGGAAGGCGAGUGGUUGGAAGGGUGGUGACGGUAGUGGUAGAAGAAGCACCGGCUAACUACGUG
RNAcentral lists this ribosomal RNA (494 nucleotides) under uncultured bacterium. RNAcentral's name for it is "partial 16S ribosomal RNA". It matches the Rfam family "Bacterial small subunit ribosomal RNA", at positions 28 to 507 of the family's 1533-position model. The record is from RNAcentral.